UUCAGGUGCGGUGGCAUGUGCCUGUAGUCGCAGCUACUCAGGAGGCUGAGGCUGGAGGAUCCCUCGAGUCCAGGAGUUCUGGGCUGUAGUGCGCUGUGCCGAUCAGUUAUCUGCACUAAGUUCGGCAUCAAUAUGGUGACCUCCCGAGAGCAGGGGACCCACCAGCUUGCCUAAUGUGGGGUAAACUGGCCCAGGUCGGAAAUGGAGCAGGUCAAAACUUCUGUGCUGAUGAGUAGUGGGAUCACGCCUAUGAAUAGCCACUGCACUCCAGCCUGGGCAACAUAGCGAGACCCCGUCUCU
Molecule: signal recognition particle RNA, 300 nt
Filed under: Aotus nancymaae (Ma's night monkey)
Lineage: Eukaryota; Metazoa; Chordata; Mammalia; Primates; Aotidae
Description: Metazoan signal recognition particle RNA (ENSANAG00000004631.1)
Rfam family: Metazoan signal recognition particle RNA
About the family: The signal recognition particle (SRP) is a universally conserved ribonucleoprotein.
Source: RNAcentral